Molecule: small nucleolar RNA, 97 nt
Organism: Cannabis sativa
Lineage: Eukaryota; Viridiplantae; Streptophyta; Magnoliopsida; Rosales; Cannabaceae
Product: small nucleolar RNA Z103
Exons: 1
Source: RefSeq, a predicted model, not a curated record
AUGGAAUUGAUGACUAUUUCCCCAGAUGAUCGAAGCUGAUUUAAUUGAGCGCACUUUUUGUCUCUUUCGAGAGACCAAGCCAAUAUAUCUGAUCCAU